This is a non-coding RNA of Elusimicrobia bacterium RBG_16_66_12, 72 nucleotides long. Lineage: Bacteria; Pseudomonadati; Elusimicrobiota. The record is from Rfam.
GAGCUCGUAGCUCAGGGGUAGAGCAUGCGCCUUUUAAGCGCGGGGUCGUGGGUUCGAUUCCCACCGGGCUCA